Molecule: microRNA precursor, 60 nt
Filed under: Octopus vulgaris (common octopus)
Lineage: Eukaryota; Metazoa; Mollusca; Cephalopoda; Octopoda; Octopodidae
Also listed under: 1 other name
Description: Ovu-Mir-12569_pre stem-loop
Source: RNAcentral
AUAUCGAACCUGUUGCAACAUGUUUGAGUUUCACCAAGUGUUGCACUACCUUCGAUAUUA